AGAAACGUCAUGGGCUAUACCCCGUGAAACUGACGGUACCUGCGAAUAAGCACCGCUAACUACGUGCCAGCAGCCGCGGUAAUACGUAGGGUGCAAGCGUUAAUCGGAAUUACUGGGCGUAAAGCGUGCGCAGGCGGUUCGGAAAGAAAGAUGUGAAAUCCCAGAGCAACUUUGGAACGCAUUAACUACCGAGCAGAGUGUGUCAGAGGGAGGUGGAAUUCCGCGUGUAGCAGUGAAAUGCGUAGAUAUGCGGAGGAACACCGAUGGCGAAGGCAGCCCUGGGAUAACACUGACGCUCAUGCACGAGAGCGGGGGAGCAAACAGGAUUAGAUACCCUGGUAGCCACGCCCUAAACGAUGCAACUAGCUGUUGGGGCCUCGGGCCUGGUAGCGCAGCUAACGCGUGAAGUUGACCGCCGGGGAGUACGGUCGCAAGAUUAAAACUCAAAGGAAUUGACGGGGACCCGCACAAGCGGGGAUGAUGUGGAUAAUCGAUGCAACGCGAAAAACCUUACCUACCCUUGACAUGUCUGGAAUGCCGAAGAGAUUUGGUAGUGCUCGCAAGAGAACCGGAACACAGGUGCUGCAUGGCUGUCGUCAGCUCGUGUCGUGAGAUGUUGGGUUAAGUCCCGCAACGAGCGCAACCCUGUCAUAGUUGCUACGAAAGGGCACUCAUGAGACUGCCGGUGACAAACCGGAGGAAGGUGGGGAUGACGUCAAGUCCUCAUGGCCCUUAUGGGUAGGGCUUCACACGUCAUACAAUGGUCGGGACAGAGGGCGCCAACCCGCGAGGGGGAGCCAAUCCCAGAAACCGAUCGUAGUCCGGAUCGCAGUCUGCAACUCGACUGCGUGAAGUCGGAAUCGCUAGUAAUCGCGGAUCAGCAUGUCGCGGUGAAUACGUCCCGGGUCUUGUACACACCGCCCGUCACACCAGGGAGUUUGUUGCACCAGAAGCAGGUAGCUAACCUUCGGGAGGGCGCUGCCACGGUGUGGCCGAUGACUGGGG
RNAcentral lists this ribosomal RNA (1005 nucleotides) under uncultured bacterium. RNAcentral describes it as "bacterial SSU rRNA". It matches the Rfam family "Bacterial small subunit ribosomal RNA", at positions 446 to 1480 of the family's 1533-position model. The record is from RNAcentral.